Molecule: long non-coding RNA, 1262 nt
Filed under: Equus caballus (horse)
Lineage: Eukaryota; Metazoa; Chordata; Mammalia; Perissodactyla; Equidae
Description: lncRNA (ENSECAG00000043480.2)
Source: RNAcentral
GGGGAUCCAAUCAAGGACUUUUCAUGGAGAAGGCUGGGCGGUCACAGUGCUGGUCCCCUGGUGCUAGGUCUUCUCACCUGCUUUCUUGGCUGGCUGAGCCCCUGGGAAACCGGGAGGUCACAGAGAAGCUGAGGCCCCAUGCUGAUACCCUCAUAAGGAAACUGUAGCUUCUUGUUCCCUAGACUUCUUUGACCCAGUAUGGGCACCAUGGGAACCUGACGGCCCGGGCCCUGGACCCCCAACUGAGACCCACCCCGGGAGAAGCCUGGACCAAAGAGACUGAGUGGGGAUCAGGGCUCAGCCGCAGUAGGGCACGGGGGUCUGGAACAGCCCUGGUCCCCACGUCCUGAGAAUUCCCUUGGAGGGGACCCACCUUCAGGCAGAGGCUCCCAUUUUGGACUUUGUGUGAGUGAUUCAUAACUGGUUUCCUGUUGACCGUUAUACAUGUGCAGUUGUUUACAGCUUGCAGUGUCUCGGCUCAUUCAUCACCUCCCCCCCAUCCACAGAGCAACAUGGCUUUGUGGGGGUCACGGCAUUACCACGUCCACUCCAGUCCCUGCCUGUUGUUCUCUGAUGGAGACACAGCACCUGCUGGAUCACAGGACGAGGUGCCACCUGUGGGCUGUAGAUGAAGAUCACCCACUGCAGGAGGACCUGGGACGUGCGGAUCCAGGAGUUGACAUGACACGUGGGGAUCCAGGAGGUGACAUGACACGUGUGGAUCCAGGAGGUGACAUGACACGUGCGGAUCCAGGGGGUGACAUGACACGUGCGGAUCCAGGGGGUGACAUGACACGUGUGGAUCCAGGGGGUGACAUGACACGUGUGGAUCCAGGGGGUGACAUGACACGUGCGGAUCCAGGAGGUGACAUGACAUGUGCGGAUCCAGGGGGUGACAUGACACGUGCGGAUCCAGGGGGUGACAUGACACGUGCGGAUCCAGGGGGUGACAUGACACGUGUGGAUCCAGGGGGUGACAUGACACGUGCGGAUCCAGGAGAUGUGAGACGUGUGUGGAUCCAGGAGAUGAUGUCGGAUGUGAAGAUCCAGGAUACAACAUCAGAUGGGAGCAUGUUGUUGGAGAGAUAUUAUCAGAAAUAAAGAAUCCAGCAAAGAUGCUCCCAAUUAAAAGAUGUUUAAUAGGCAGAUGUUUUGGGAUGCGCCUCCAGGAGGUGACUUGGGGUGGGUGGGUCUGAGAUGAGGCAUGUCCAGUGCAGUACCGAGUGAACGUCCUGAUCUCGUGAGCCCACACCAUGGUCCCC